This 63-nucleotide transfer RNA is filed under the name Pseudomonas syringae pv. tomato. Its description in RNAcentral is "tRNA-Ser". It matches the Rfam family "tRNA", at positions 15 to 71 of the family's 71-position model. Rfam says of the family: Transfer RNA (tRNA) molecules are approximately 80 nucleotides in length. Their secondary structure includes four short double-helical elements and three loops (D, anti-codon, and T loops). Lineage: Bacteria; Pseudomonadati; Pseudomonadota; Gammaproteobacteria; Pseudomonadales; Pseudomonadaceae. The record is from RNAcentral.
GCAGGAUAAGGUAACUGACUUGUAAUCAGUAGGUCCCGGGUUCGACUCCUGGUGCCGGCACCA